This 399-nucleotide ribosomal RNA is filed under the name uncultured bacterium. Its description in RNAcentral is "bacterial SSU rRNA". It matches the Rfam family "Bacterial small subunit ribosomal RNA", at positions 355 to 771 of the family's 1533-position model. The record is from RNAcentral.
UGGGGAAUAUUGGACAAUGGGCGAAAGCCUGAUCCAGCAAUGCCGCGUGAGUGAUGAAGGCCUUAGGGUUGUAAAGCUCUUUUACCCGGGAUGAUAAUGACAGUACCGGGAGAAUAAGCUCCGGCUAACUCCGUGCCAGCAGCCGCGGUAAUACGGAGGGAGCUAGCGUUGUUCGGAAUUACUGGGCGUAAAGCGCGCGUAGGCGGUUUUUCAAGUCAGAGGUGAAAGCCCGGGGCUCAACCCCGGAAUAGCCUUUGAAACUGGAAGACUUGAAUCUUGGAGAGGCCAGUGGAAUUCCGAGUGUAGAGGUGAAAUUCGUAGAUAUUCGGAAGAACACCAGUGGCGAAGGCGACUGACUGGACAAGUAUUGACGCUGAGGUGCGAAAGCGUGGGGAGCAA